CCUGACUCGGGAACAUGUUUAUGGUGGGUCCACUGGAGUCGUGGUGGUAGGCCAAGGUUCAUCAACGCGGUGGCCUAUUUAUGUACUGGGGAAGUGAAACUUUAUCCGCUUUGCACUAGGCUGUUAGAAUAAUUAGUCAAUUAACAAGGAAUUAUUAAGAACCUACUGUGUUCCAGGCACCUCGCCGGGCGCUGGGGAUCCAAUCAAUAAACAUUAAAAGCCUGCUGUGUGCCAUGCAUUGAGAAUACGAGCAGAAGGAAUGAAACAAUUCCUAUCCGAAAUUUAAUGGGGGAGGAAACUAGCAGUGAGGAGCAUGAAAAGUCUUCAGGCAGAAGAUGGUGCAUCUCAAAGGAAGAGACAGGGCCUGUAUGCAUGCAAGUUGGAGGGAGUGAAGAUGCACACCAGGCAUGGUGGACCAUCAAUACAAAGGAAACCUACUAUUGGGGAAACUUCAUCAUCCUGCAAGAUCCCAUAAGCCUCAGGACUCUACCUCAUCAGCUUCUUUUUGUAUGUGGUCUUCUGCCAGUAGAUUGUAAGCUUCUUGAUGCCAGGGACUGUCUUUG
This is a non-coding RNA of Phascolarctos cinereus (koala), 563 nucleotides long. The record is from RefSeq and is a predicted model, not a curated record. Lineage: Eukaryota; Metazoa; Chordata; Mammalia; Diprotodontia; Phascolarctidae.